This 610-nucleotide ribosomal RNA is filed under the name Aspergillus sydowii. RNAcentral describes it as "eukaryotic LSU rRNA". It matches the Rfam family "Eukaryotic large subunit ribosomal RNA", at positions 1 to 625 of the family's 3401-position model. Lineage: Eukaryota; Fungi; Ascomycota; Eurotiomycetes; Eurotiales; Aspergillaceae. The record is from RNAcentral.
UUGACCUCGGAUCAGGUAGGGAUACCCGCUGAACUUAAGCAUAUCAAUAAGCGGAGGAAAAGAAACCAACCGGGAUUGCCUCAGUAACGGCGAGUGAAGCGGCAAGAGCUCAAAUUUGAAAUCUGGCCCCUCCGGGGUCCGAGUUGUAAUUUGCAGAGGAUGCUUCGGGUGCGGCCCCUGUCUAAGUGCCCUGGAACGGGCCGUCAGAGAGGGUGAGAAUCCCGUCUUGGGCAGAGUGCCCGUGCCCGUGUGAAGCUCCUUCGACGAGUCGAGUUGUUUGGGAAUGCAGCUCAAAAUGGGUGGUAAAUUUCAUCUAAAGCUAAAUACCGGCCGGAGACCGAUAGCGCACAAGUAGAGUGAUCGAAAGAUGAAAAGCACUUUGAAAAGAGAGUUAAACAGCACGUGAAAUUGUUGAAAGGGAAGCGCUUGCAACCAGACUCGGCCUCGGGGUUCAGCCAGCAUUCGUGCUGGUGUACUUCCCCGGGGCCGGGCCAGCGUCGGUUUGGGCGGCCGGUCAAAGGCCCCAGGAAUGUAUCGUCCUCCGGGACGUCUUAUAGCCUGGGGUGCAAUGCGGCCAGCCUGGACCGAGGAACGCGCUUCGGCACGGACG